This 223-nucleotide unclassified non-coding RNA is filed under the name Hevea brasiliensis (rubber tree). Lineage: Eukaryota; Viridiplantae; Streptophyta; Magnoliopsida; Malpighiales; Euphorbiaceae. The record is from RNAcentral.
AGAUAGGGGCGGAAGGGUUAGACCGAUGUUUGGUGGAAACGAAGGAUCGUUUGGUGAUGAAUUAGAGACGGAGAUAGGUUUAUUGCUUCGUGAACAGCGUCGGCAAGAGGCUGAUGAUCGUGAACGGGAGCUGAAUUUGUAUAGAAGUGGAUCAGCUCCGCCGACUGUCGAAGGCUCUUUGAGUGCGGUGGGUGGUCUGUUUGGUGGGGUUGCUGGUUCUGCU